This 546-nucleotide ribosomal RNA is filed under the name uncultured archaeon. RNAcentral describes it as "bacterial SSU rRNA". It matches the Rfam family "Archaeal small subunit ribosomal RNA", at positions 21 to 575 of the family's 1478-position model. The record is from RNAcentral.
AGGUCACUGCUAUCGGGGUUCGAUUAAGCCAUGCGAGUCGAGAGGGUUCGGCCCUCGGCGUACUGCUCAGUAACACGUGGAUAACCUGCCCUAAGGAAGGGGAUACCCUCGGGAAACUGAGGAUAAUACCCUAUAGGUUACCGAUGCUGGAAUGCUCGGUAACUCAAAGUUCCGGCGCCUUAGGAUGGAUCUGCGGCCGAUUAGGUAGUUGUUGGGGUAACGGCCCAACAAGCCCGUAAUCGGUACGGGUUGCGGGAGCAAGAGCCCGGAGUUGGAUUCUGAGACACGAAUCCAGGCCCUACGGGGCGCAGCAGGCGCGAAAACUUUACAAUGCGGGCAACCGUGAUAAGGGAACCUCGAGUGCCUGUACAUGCAGGCUGUCUGGGUGUCUAAAACACACCCAAAGAAAGGGCCGGGCAAGACCGGUGCCAGCCGCCGCGGUAAUACCGGCGGCUCGAGUGGUGGCCACUUUUAUUGGGCUUAAAGCGUUCGUAGCUGGGUUGUUAAGUCUCUUGGGAAAUCCGGCGGCUUAACCGUCGGGCGUCU